This 162-nucleotide unclassified non-coding RNA is filed under the name uncultured Ascomycota. RNAcentral's name for it is "sequence contains ITS1". Lineage: Eukaryota; Fungi; Ascomycota. The record is from RNAcentral.
CAAGAAUCGAGGCUGGCGCGCCUAUUCAAUGGGCCGUGUCCAGUCCCGCUCUUUACCUUGCCUACUGCACCGUUUGUUGCUUCCUGGCGGUGGAUUGCCGCCGCCAGGAGCUUUCAAAAACCAAGUAUAAGCAUUGAACUUCCUGACAUACGCUAAAUCGUA